AGGAUGAACGCUAGCGGCAGGCUAAUACAUGCAAGUCGUGGGGCGAGACAUGAGUAGCAAUACUUGAUGGCGACCGGCGAAACGGGUGGGGAACACGUACACAACCUUCCUUCGAAGCGGGGAAUAGCCCAGAGAAAUUUGGAUUAAUACCCCAUAAUAUAUUUGAUAAGGCAUCUUAUUAAUAUUAAAGCUUCGGCACUUGAUGAUGGGGUGUGCGGCUGAUUAGAUAGUUGGCGGGGUAACGGCCCACCAAGUCUACGAUCAGUAGCUGAUGUGAGGGCAUGAUCAGCCACACGGGCACUGAGACACGGGCCCGACUCCUACGGGAGGCAGCAGUAAGGAAUAUUGGACAAUGGACGAAAGUCUGAUCCAGCCAUGCCGCGUGAAGGAUUAAGGUCCUCUGGAUUGUAAACUUCUUUUAUAUGGGACGAAAAAAGGGCAUUCUUGUUCACUUGACGGUACCAUAUGAAUAAGCACCGGCUAACUCCGUG
This 491-nucleotide ribosomal RNA is filed under the name uncultured bacterium. RNAcentral's name for it is "bacterial SSU rRNA". It matches the Rfam family "Bacterial small subunit ribosomal RNA", at positions 26 to 507 of the family's 1533-position model. The record is from RNAcentral.